UUUCUAACAAAGAAUCCUCGAAGAAUGCAGAAUCUUCGACAUAAAGUGGACCAAACCGCAAACCAUAAACUUCCUUCCAUUCGUGUUUUUUGGUUUUACGAAUUUUGUACAAUUUUUUCCUUUUUUUCCAUAUACACCAAGGAAUCUUCUUCAUCUUCUUCCGUCUUUCUCACACACACGUCCUCUUUCCUUAACACUAUAGGGUUGUCCUAUACAAAAUUUGCGCUAACUUUUAGAUACCCAAAUUAAAUACUCGUGGGCACACAUUUUUUAUAUUUCAAUUAACGCCUUGAUUUUGUCAUCAUCGAUAGGGUGCGACAAGUCUACGACAUUCUUCAUCUUUAAACUCAACAUUUCUAGUUCUAAGACUACAAAAAUCAUUUACAAACACCCCUAUCGUGUAAUGUGUAUACAAUGAUAUGGCGGUACCGCGUAUUCUACAUUUCUCAUAUAUACUAUUCAAAUGAUCAGCUCUCCUUUCCGAUGAAAGUGUUAUAAAUAUAUCGAAAAUGCAUUCCAUCGCACUGCUAUGAUCCUUUCCAAAAUUCACCGCAUCCAGUUGCGAUAGCUGUUAUACAAAGACCGAGCCAAUAUUAUGUUUCUCCCAUCGCACCCACAUAUAUUGAAACUUUUCCCCAAAGACCAUAUCCGAAUUCCAUAUGCGUUCAUUGGCAUUCUUGUUAUCUCGCUCUUUGCAUGUACGCGAGUCAUUUUCGCGAAUCUCUCACACCUCGAAAAAAGCAGACCCGCGUAAGUCACCACCUUCCCUCCAUCUUUUCGCCACGCGAUUCACUUGGAAACACAAACGAAACCGUGUGUCGAAUGCCCAUUACUGCGCAAAACGUACGCAAGUACACACCGUGUGUGGAAAGGCUCGACCCAGAUAUCGGUGUUUCGAACGUGCCGGCUAGUCAGAGCGCAGCCAGCAGGGAACAGCGCUGUCUAUCGGAAGCCGCACAGCUCUUCAGUUCAUCGACUGUCGUUGCGCGGUGCACGCUGGUGCAACGCUGCACACGGUAAUCUUUCCGUGUACGCCGUACGUGCGUCUUCCGCUAGUCGUCCCUUCAGGCGAGAGAAAUUUUGCGAUCGCGCACGCGGAUACUCUUAUCGCGUUGAUACCGUGUGACCGGUGAGUGUCAGUGACUCGAUCCUAGAUAGCUUCGAGAAUCAACGGUAAAAGUGACAUGAGCCGAUGAGAAUUGUGGAAGUUAUGAUGAAAUUAAUGAAGCUUGAUGAAGUUUAUGUUGGAAUACAAGAUCGACGAAUUUUUUUAAAUAAUUUUUUACUUGGUGAAUAACGAGCAUUACAGAAGAGAUCAGAGUUCGAUGAAUUUUAGGAAAUCAUAGGAAUACGAUGAUCGACGAUAUAAUUACUCGACGUUGAGAAAUAAUUAAAGAACAUAUCGAACUACAAAUUUUGUACAUGUUUCACUAAUCUACCGAGUUUAACAGAUUUCGUGGAAUAAUUAAAAGAUAUUAAUACGAGAGUACGAAGAUGGAAAAAUCAUUGUGGGUGUUUACUCGCUUAAUGGAUAACGAGGAUAAUGAAAGUAAUUGGGUGAUAUUUUGUGGUUAGUUUACUGUGCAAACUCGAGACGAUGCACUUGCUCGUCUUCAUAGACCAACUGCCGUCUUUUCUUUGAGGCAUAAUGAGGAUAUUUACAGUUGUCCUCUGUCAUUUGUUGGAAGCACCUGUAAUACCGACAUUUACGAUUUCAAAGUAAUUGCUUUCACACUAAUUACAUCAGGAACCAACGAGUAUUAAACUUUGGAGAAGUUAGUCUGUUCCAUAGCUGGUUCGCCUGCUAUUGGAUUUCUGAUUACACUCGUUCGACAAAAACACCGAGUAGAAAAAGUAUCGAAGAAACGUGUUGCGUAACUAACAGGAGAAUUCUACGAAUGUGCCGCGUUAAGUGUGACGGUAAAAGAAAGAAGGAAACGCUUGCCAAUCGAGUCUGUCAAAUCAACACAGUCCAUUUCUUGUCCCGACGACGUCCGUUUAAACGCACAUCGCAACUUUUUUCUCCAUUUGCGUAGUUUUGUUUGCAUUAAUCAUUCCAACUUCUUGUAUUUUACGUAACACGCGUUUCUUCUUCCGUUUGUUUUCUUGCAUACGUUAAAAUCGUUGUGACAAUUUUCAAGUUUCAGAGAAAAAGUACAUUAAUAUCGACGCUUCCUGAAUAUUCAAAUUACCUCUACCUCUUUCAUAAUUGUAAAAAAUUACUUUCUUUUAUGUCAGUGUUCACUGAAAAAUAGUAUCUUGCCUUCUUCGAGCGAUUAGAGUUAUGCUUUUGUAGAAAUGAGAAUCUUUUAAAUAUUUUUUAUCUGCUUUUGUAAAGUUAAUCAGUUUCAAGGAAUUCGUUAUUAUUUUACCACAAAAUAUUAAAUUCGUCCCAUUUUCACGCUGCUUAGCAAAUGACAAGUACAUUGUUCGUUAUAUACAGUCGCACUCCGCUCGUAAAUCGAGAAACUCAUUAAAGAUAGCCACGUUUAAUGCAGCUCUUUGCUGUAAUCAUUCGAUUACAGAGAAUUAUCACGAUACUGUGUAUCAUCCUCAAAAUCAGGCUCCAUAUACACGGUUGUAUAAUAGUAUAACUGUACGGUAGCAUGAAAUCAGCAGGUGGUCUCAUAAUUAAUAGUGCAUGACUCGAAUAAAAAAAUACGGUCCAAAACACCGUAUAGAACAUCUGUUCCUUAGUUUGUAAGAAGGAGACAUCUUCCAUGGGAAUAAAAAUUUCCAUCAAAUGAAUGUAAAUUAUCACUGUAUAAAUAUAGCUUAGAAAAUAUUGAAACGUAUGAAUGUUUAUAAUGGUAUUGCUGGAAUUAAUGACGUUAAUAACUCCUUCAAUUUUCAGAAUUCUCUGAUAAAACUGACACAGAAUAUUCUUGCAAAUAUGUACAAUUAAUUAAUCAAAUACGAAAAUAAUCGACGAAUCUUCCUUGAUCGUAAAUAAAAUAAACGAAAACACAGAAAAAGAAUAAAAUAUAAGGAAAUUCUGCAACAUUCGAUACGAACGACUAUCGAUGGCGAUGCGGGUAAGGAAGGCUACACCCUGUUUCCGAGCAAUGUCACGCGUCAGACCAAGCUUCGGCCUCGCAAGCACCGCGAAGAUAACAGUCUCGAUCUCGAUCGCCAUCGUGUCGCAAUAAAUCGGUUUCGCUUGCCCCAGUGUCAUGGCGAAAUCUCGGUAUUCGUGUCGCCAAGGCUCAAUUACGACUGGCAAUCGUUGUUUACCUCGACUCGCAGCCGCAACAUACCUUUCCUACCCAUUAAGAAAUUAUUCUCCGCUUGUUCCCGAGAAUACAUCGCACACCUUCGAUAAUUAUUUGCUCGCGGGAUGAGGCGGGCCCUGUGUUUUCUUAAAAUAUUCGUUACGACCUCGCGCAAACAUUCCACGCGUUCACCUGACUAGAUCCCACGAUGGCAAAACAAGAGAUGACGCGAUAGUUGCGAUAAUCACAACUGGGCGAGGUCGAGAUUCAUUCAAAAUUGAUUCGAAAAUCCAUCGGAUCGAUGAUUCGAAAUGUUUCGAAGUAGGUCAUCAUAAUACAUUUUUGUGGCACUGUUAAUGGAGCCGUUUUUGCGAACCAUCAUUCGGUAUUUUCGUAGCGUGUAAUUUUCAUCUGAGAUUAAUAAGUAGGCUUGUUUUUAUUGGACUGAGAUUUCGCUGCGAGAAACUGUUUUGCUGAAAUGACUGCAAAAAAGGGGAAAUUAAGGGAACAGUUGUAGGAUCAUAUGUAGAGAUGAAAAAGUGAAGAUAUUUCGUUGAAGUUGCUCGCGAUCUGUCAUACUUGACUCGUCAAGGAAUCGAAAGUUCGCUUUAAUCGCUCCACAGGGAUCCUCUAUUUUGCACCGCUAAGCGGCGAAAGUGGAUCCAGUCCGAUGAAGAAAUCGAGGAAAUUUAUCGAAAGACAUACGCAAUUAUUUUUUAUAAUUCUGAAGAAUAGAUAAAACUCUACCUGCAGAUGAAUAUCAACUUACCUUGUAACGAAGUUUAAAAAAAAAGAAGAAACCCAUCUUUUCAGUUCUCGUAAAUUGAUAAUGAAAUUCAUUCAUAUUACAACUAAGUUUUUUAACCACGAAACCAGUCUGUUCGAUCUUUGUGAAUUAAUAACAACUCUGUUACAAGCAGACAUUUCGAAAAUCAUUUGGAAUUAGCCUCCAAGUAUAGACGAUGUCUAUAUGCGAGAUUACAAAGGACUGCCUGUAUUGUCUAUUUUCUAUCGGUGUUUCUCGAUGAAGAAGCGACCACGGGAAAAGAAAAAUAGGCAUGUGAUCGUGAUCUUCCUUACGCAAGCCUAACAACCUCAUACGAGAUCGUUAACGAUCCUCCUAUACGCAAGUUUACGCGUUCCGUAGAUAGUUGCGUAGUCGCUACCGGCAUACCAAACUAGCCUCCAUCCGAGAUAUCGAUGUUCAAUCGAACUGGGAAUAAUAGUCAUUGAUUAACCAUAAACUCGUUUCAACACCACAUCGUCCCAAAAAAUAACAUAAAUUAAUGAACAUUAUUAAAUUAUUUCUGUUGCGAAAAAAUUAUACUACACAGCAAUUCUAAUAAAAUAUUUAUUCAAAAAUCUAGAUUUCUUACUAAUUUUACUUACGAUAUUAUUAUCUUGAUCUAAAUCUUUGAGAAUCUAAGAAAUAUUAUAUCAGUAUUAUUAGUAUUAUAGUAUCGUAUCAUUGUUAUUAAUAUUCGAUUAAUCAAAGUAAUCAUAUAUCUUAAUCAAAAAGUACUUUUCGAGAGGAUAAUUUUUGUACAAACGCCUGUUAGC
Bombus impatiens (common eastern bumble bee) is the source of this 4772-nucleotide long non-coding RNA. RefSeq lists it as uncharacterized. The record is from RefSeq and is a predicted model, not a curated record. The transcript is spliced from 2 exons. NCBI's taxonomy places the organism in Eukaryota, Metazoa, Arthropoda, Insecta, Hymenoptera, Apidae.